GGGGAGAGGAAAUUGUUUCCUCGAGUCGUUGAUUUCACACUGCCGAGAAAAGCCUCUAGCUAGAUUUAUGGUGCCCGUACCGCAAACCGACACAGGUAGUCAAGAUGAGAAUUCUAAGGUGAGCGAGCGAACUCUCGUUAAGGAACUCGGCAAAAUGACCCCGUAACUUCGGGAGAAGGGGUGCUCUUUAGGGUUCACGCCCAGGAGAGCCGCAGUGAAUAGGCCCAAGCGACUGUUUAUCAAAAACACAGGUCUCUGCUAAACCGUAAGGUGAUGUAUAGGGGCUGACGCCUGCCCGGUGCUGGAAGGUUAAGAGGAGUGGUUAGCUUCUGCGAAGCUACGAAUCGAAGCCCCAGUAAACGGCGGCCGUAACUAUAACGGUCCUAAGGUAGCGAAAUUCCUUGUCGGGUAAGUUCCGACCCGCACGAAAGGCGUAACGAUUUGGGCACUGUCUCAACGAGAGACUCGGUGAAAUCAUAGUACCUGUGAAGAUGCAGGUUACCCGCGACAGGACGGAAAGACCCCGUGGAGCUUUACUGUAGUCUGAUAUUGAAAUUCGGUACAGCUUGUACAGGAUAGGUAGGAGCCUUAGAUACGUGAGCGCUAGCUUACGUGGAGGCGUUGGUGGGAUACUACCCUCGCUGUAUUGGAUUUCUAACCCGCACCAUUAAUCAUGGUGGGAGACAGUGUCAGAUGGACAGUUUGACUGGGGCGGUCGCCUCCUAAAGAGUAACGGAGGCGCUCAAAGGUUUCCUCAGAAUGGUUGGAAAUCAUUCAUAGAGUGUAAAGGCACAAGGAAGCUUGACUGCGAGACUUACAAGUCGAGCAGGGUCGAAAGACGGACUUAGUGAUCCGGUGGUUCCGCAUGGAAGGGCCAUCGCUCAACGGAUAAAAGCUACCCCGGGGAUAACAGGCUUAUCUCCCCCAAGAGUUCACAUCGACGGGGAGGUUUGGCACCUCGAUGUCGGCUCAUCGCAUCCUGGGGCUGUAGUCGGUCCCAAGGGUUGGGCUGUUCGCCCAUUAAAGCGGUACGCGAGCUGGGUUCAGAACGUCGUGAGACAGUUCGGUCCCUAUCCGUCGUGGGCGUAGGAAAUUUGAGAGGAGCUGUCCUUAGUACGAGAGGACCGGGAUGGACAUACCUCUGGUGUACCAGUUGUCGUGCCAACGGCAUCGCUGGGUAGCUAUGUAUGGACGGGAUAAGUGCUGAAAGCAUCUAAGCAUGAAGCCCCCCUCAAGAUGAGAUUUCCCAACUUCGGUUAUAAGAUCCCUCAAAGAUGAUGAGGUUAAUAGGUUCGAGGUGGAAGCAUAGCGAUAUGUGGAGCUGACGAAUACUAAUCGAUCGAAGACUUAAUCAAAUU
RNAcentral lists this ribosomal RNA (1358 nucleotides) under Staphylococcus ureilyticus. RNAcentral's name for it is "bacterial LSU rRNA". It matches the Rfam family "Bacterial large subunit ribosomal RNA", at positions 1567 to 2925 of the family's 2925-position model. The record is from RNAcentral. Lineage: Bacteria; Bacillati; Bacillota; Bacilli; Caryophanales; Staphylococcaceae.